CCUACGGGUGACAGCAGUGAGGAAUAUUGGUCAAUGGGCGCGAGCCUGAACCAGCCAAGUAGCGUGAAGGAUGACUGCCCUACGGGUUGUAAACUUCUUUUAUAAAGGAAUAAAGUGAGGCACGUGUGCCUUUUUGUAUGUACUUUAUGAAUAAGGAUCGGCUAACUCCGUGCCAGCAGCCGCGGUAAUACGGAGGAUCCGAGCGUUAUCCGGAUUUAUUGGGUUUAAAGGGAGCGUAGACGGGUUGUUAAGUCAGUUGGGAAAGUUUGCGGCUCAACCGUAACAUUGCAGUUGAAACUGGCAGUCUUGAGUACAGUUGAGGUAUGCGGAAUUCGUGGUGUAGCGGUGAAAUGCUUAGAUAUCACGAAGAACUCCGAUUGCGAAGGCAGCUUACUAAACUGCCACUGACAUUGAUGCACGAAAGUGUGGGUAUCAAACAGGAUUAGAUACCCCAGUAGUC
This 460-nucleotide ribosomal RNA is filed under the name uncultured bacterium. RNAcentral's name for it is "partial 16S ribosomal RNA". It matches the Rfam family "Bacterial small subunit ribosomal RNA", at positions 338 to 795 of the family's 1533-position model. The record is from RNAcentral.